CUGACGGCUAUAACACACAAAGUUACUCAAUGUUAAAAGGGCAACACAGCAUCCACCCACUGGGCACUCAACAUGCAAUUAAAAAUCGUGUCUGCAGCUGCAGCUGUCUGCUCCGGCAUGGUACCCCGACAAGAUCAGCCUUCUACCUUGGCCAUGGAACCCCGUAAGUCUGAAUCUGGAUGCUUCUUUUGCCAGCCAUAGUCCAACCUCCGCCAUUGGCGGGAACCACAGCAGCCUUGUCAGCUGGCUGCCUCAUCCAUGGAGGGGGAGAGGCGGCUGUGACUCCUAAUUGCCUGGGGAAGAAGCACAACCGAAAUCAACAAAUAGCAGGAAAAAAUGCAAUCAUGCAUGACACAUUCUCAAUUUCGUUGCACACUUUUCCACAAUGCAUUGGAAGAGGUGGACUGCGAGUCUUCAACAACAAAACUAGGCUACUUCAUUGGGAAGAUGCCCAAAGAUUCUGCAGUGGUGUUCAAAUGUAGGCUAAGUAGUUUUUGUUCUUCUUAAAAUUAUCACGAGUAUUGCAUUGUAGGUUGCAUCUUUGAAAACAGAAGUAUUUUUUAUUUUAUUCUUACCCAAAGUGGAUUUUUGUUUCCUCUCUGAAAAGUGUUUCUUGUUCUCUUGGUCUUCGUCAGAGUUUUAAAAUUAUCUUUUGAUUUCUGAACGUGUCGACACCGGGGACUUGGGAUGUUGCUGUGGUAUUGAUGUCAUGUGAAUCAGGCCUUUUGUUUUAGUUUUGUAGGCUAGGCUACCUAUUGAAUGAUUUAAUUUAUGGAUCAGGCCUUAGCAGUCAUUCUGAUCUCGUUCCCAAUGAUCAGCGCGUUCGUUUAUUACGUUGCUGUCCAGCGGUUCCUAAUUCGCGAUGCACCGAAUGCUCAAGUUUUUCUGUCCAAUAGCCUUUUGAUUUAAACACUUUAAAAAACGUUGAACUAAUAAAAUAAUAAAUAUGUUGAAAUGGAACCAAAUGGUCUGUUUCUGUCUUCAGUCUGUUUUUAAAUAGGGUAGAUUGUCUAUAUGGUCUACUACUGUAUAGGUCUACUGUGGAGUAGGUAGUUUUAUUCAGAGUUUAGAGAAAUUAAUACAAUUAGAAAUGAG
Long non-coding RNA from Oncorhynchus tshawytscha (Chinook salmon), 1095 nucleotides. The record is from Ensembl. Lineage: Eukaryota; Metazoa; Chordata; Actinopteri; Salmoniformes; Salmonidae.